AUCCUUUUGUGGUUCAUAAGCAUGAUGAUUGGGUUUUCAGGCGAUUGUGUGAGAUGUGCCUCAUUCAAACCUUGUUACGAUGUCUGCCCAUUACUCAUCUGAUG
Gorilla gorilla gorilla (western lowland gorilla) is the source of this 104-nucleotide small nucleolar RNA. Lineage: Eukaryota; Metazoa; Chordata; Mammalia; Primates; Hominidae. The record is from Ensembl.